Molecule: long non-coding RNA, 630 nt
Filed under: Marmota monax (woodchuck)
Lineage: Eukaryota; Metazoa; Chordata; Mammalia; Rodentia; Sciuridae
Source: RNAcentral
UACCCCUGGACAGCUAUUACCUUUGCCAUGUUGCGGAACCAGUGAUUCUUUUUAGAACAACAGAUUUCUGGAGCCUUAGCCACAGAAAGAGAUCUAGUGCAAAGUACUAUGCUACUGUCAGGGAGAGGGCGGCAGACACAGACAUCAAGCACAAGGAGAAUGCAAAGCCUGUGCCCUGUUACACACAUACAUGUGUGCACCCAAGAACCCAUGAUUAACUUCCUUCAAGUUCCCACUCCUGGGUCCCCAACCUGAUGCCAGCCUUCCUCAAAGCAGGUCAUAGGACCCAGAGAAGAAUCCCAUCAUCACUUCCAGUCUAACCCUCAUAUUGGGGUCACUGCCUGCUCUCUAGGAAUGACCAGGUUCCCAAGCUCCUACUGGAUCUCAGUACUGGCAAGAAUUCCUUUUUCCUGUAUUAUUUGGAAUUCUCUGGUGGGAAGGGCAUGGUGGGUGCCCAGCUUUAGGAAGCCCAACUUUCCAGCCCAGGCUAUGCUGAUAGUGCUGAGGCAGAUAAAAAUUUGCUGCUAAGAUUUUUCUUUGGGGUAGAAUUUCCUGUGAGGGGCUUGCAGCUCUCCUUCCUGUGUACAGAAAUACAGUAUUUUCCAUGGGAAAUAAAUAAAUAAAUAAAGU